GCUGGGUGUAAGUUUGACUGUACUGGCUCUUAACAGGAAAUUGCUCCAGGAUGUGAGUCAUCAUAGGGGAUUUUGUUCAUUUGGGGUGCAGCAACAGAUCCAUUACAUCACAGCAUGUGGCCAGAAGCGGGCACCAAGUCUCAUUCCAGAUGGUUGUGAGCC
This is a non-coding RNA of Myodes glareolus (Bank vole), 162 nucleotides long. Lineage: Eukaryota; Metazoa; Chordata; Mammalia; Rodentia; Cricetidae. The record is from RefSeq and is a predicted model, not a curated record.